GACGAACGCUGGCGGCGUGCUUAACACAUGCAAGUCGAACGGAAAGGCCUGCUUUCCCUUGUGGAUUGCGGGUACUUGAGUGGCGAACGGGUGAGUAACACGUGAGUGAUCUGCCCCCAACUUGGGUAUAAGCCUGGGAAACUGGGUCUAAUUCCCGAUAGGACUGCAGGGUGGUGCCUGUGGUGGAAAACGAUUUUCUAGUGGUUGGGGAUGAGCUCGCGGCCUAUCAGCUUGUUGGUGGGGUAAUGGCCUACCAAGGCGGCGACGGGUAGCCGGCCUGAGAGGGUGGACGGCCACAUUGGGACUGAGAUACGGCCCAGACUCCUACGGGAGGCAGCAGUGGGGAAUAUUGCACAAUGGGCGGAAGCCUGAUGCAGCGACGCCGCGUGGGGGAUGACGGCCUUCGGGUUGUAAACUCCUUUCGACCGCGAGGAAGCCACCUGGUUGGAAGGGUGGUGACGGUAGUGGUAGAAGAAGCACCGGCUAACUACGUG
This 494-nucleotide ribosomal RNA is filed under the name uncultured bacterium. Its description in RNAcentral is "partial 16S ribosomal RNA". It matches the Rfam family "Bacterial small subunit ribosomal RNA", at positions 28 to 507 of the family's 1533-position model. The record is from RNAcentral.